GACCCGUUAGCUCAGUCGGUAGAGCAUCUGACUUUUAAUCAGGGGGUCCCGCGUUCGAGUCGCGGACGGGUCACCA
Molecule: transfer RNA, 76 nt
Filed under: Bacillota bacterium
Lineage: Bacteria; Bacillati; Bacillota
Description: tRNA-Lys
Rfam family: tRNA
About the family: Transfer RNA (tRNA) molecules are approximately 80 nucleotides in length. Their secondary structure includes four short double-helical elements and three loops (D, anti-codon, and T loops). Further hydrogen bonds mediate the characteristic L-shaped molecular structure. tRNAs have two regions of fundamental functional importance: the anti-codon, which is responsible for specific mRNA codon recognition, and the 3' end, to which the tRNAs corresponding amino acid is attached (by aminoacyl-tRNA synthetases). tRNAs cope with the degeneracy of the genetic code in two manners: having more than one tRNA (with a specific anti-codon) for a particular amino acid; and 'wobble' base-pairing, i.e. permitting non-standard base-pairing at the 3rd anti-codon position.
Source: RNAcentral